Non-coding RNA from Ustilago sp. UG-2017a, 116 nucleotides. NCBI's taxonomy places the organism in Eukaryota, Fungi, Basidiomycota, Ustilaginomycetes, Ustilaginales, Ustilaginaceae. The record is from the annotation of a GenBank genome assembly.
GUGGUGUUCCUAAUUUCAACUGCACCGCAUCCCGUCCGAUCUGCGAAGUUAAGCAAGGUAUCGCCUAGUCAGUACUGCGCUGGGGGACCACGCGGGAAUCCUAGGUGCUGCAGUUC